This 1372-nucleotide ribosomal RNA is filed under the name uncultured bacterium. RNAcentral describes it as "bacterial SSU rRNA". It matches the Rfam family "Bacterial small subunit ribosomal RNA", at positions 28 to 1381 of the family's 1533-position model. The record is from RNAcentral.
GAUGAACGCUGGCGGCGUGCCUAAUACAUGCAAGUCGAGCGAACGGACGAGAAGCUUGCUUCUCUGAUGUUAGCGGCGGACGGGUGAGUAACACGUGGAUAACCUACCUAUAAGACUGGGAUAACUUCGGGAAACCGGAGCUAAUACCGGAUAAUAUUUUGAACCGCAUGGUUCAAAAGUGAAAGACGGUCUUGCUGUCACUUAUAGAUGGAUCCGCGCUGCAUUAGCUAGUUGGUAAGGUAACGGCUUACCAAGGCAACGAUGCAUAGCCGACCUGAGAGGGUGAUCGGCCACACUGGAACUGAGACACGGUCCAGACUCCUACGGGAGGCAGCAGUAGGGAAUCUUCCGCAAUGGGCGAAAGCCUGACGGAGCAACGCCGCGUGAGUGAUGAAGGUCUUCGGAUCGUAAAACUCUGUUAUUAGGGAAGAACAUAUGUGUAAGUAACUGUGCACAUCUUGACGGUACCUAAUCAGAAAGCCACGGCUAACUACGUGCCAGCAGCCGCGGUAAUACGUAGGUGGCAAGCGUUAUCCGGAAUUAUUGGGCGUAAAGCGCGCGUAGGCGGUUUUUUAAGUCUGAUGUGAAAGCCCACGGCUCAACCGUGGAGGGUCAUUGGAAACUGGAAAACUUGAGUGCAGAAGAGGAAAGUGGAAUUCCAUGUGUAGCGGUGAAAUGCGCAGAGAUAUGGAGGAACACCAGUGGCGAAGGCGACUUUCUGGUCUGUAACUGACGCUGAUGUGCGAAAGCGUGGGGAUCAAACAGGAUUAGAUACCCUGGUAGUCCACGCCGUAAACGAUGAGUGCUAAGUGUUAGGGGGUUUCCGCCCCUUAGUGCUGCAGCUAACGCAUUAAGCACUCCGCCUGGGGAGUACGACCGCAAGGUUGAAACUCAAAGGAAUUGACGGGGACCCGCACAAGCGGUGGAGCAUGUGGUUUAAUUCGAAGCAACGCGAAGAACCUUACCAAAUCUUGACAUCCUUUGACAACUCUAGAGAUAGAGCUUUCCCCUUCGGGGGACAAAGUGACAGGUGGUGCAUGGUUGUCGUCAGCUCGUGUCGUGAGAUGUUGGGUUAAGUCCCGCAACGAGCGCAACCCUUAAGCUUAGUUGCCAUCAUUAAGUUGGGCACUCUAAGUUGACUGCCGGUGACAAACCGGAGGAAGGCGGGGAUGACGUCAAAUCAUCAUGCCCCUUAUGAUUUGGGCUACACACGUGCUACAAUGGACAAUACAAAGGGCAGCGAAACCGCGAGGUCAAGCAAAUCCCAUAAAGUUGUUCUCAGUUCGGAUUGUAGUCUGCAACUCGACUACAUGAAGCUGGAAUCGCUAGUAAUCGUAGACCAGCAUGCUACGGUGAAUACGUUCCCGGGUCU